RNAcentral lists this long non-coding RNA (224 nucleotides) under Elaeis guineensis (African oil palm). Its description in RNAcentral is "long non-coding RNA (EGUI_LNC071532)". The record is from RNAcentral. Lineage: Eukaryota; Viridiplantae; Streptophyta; Magnoliopsida; Arecales; Arecaceae.
GCAGAAUACUACUUCUAUAAGAAGUCGGAUCACUGAAAGAGAAAUUGUCCUCAGUAUAUAGCCACCUUAACCCUAACAGGCCGAACAAGAGAAAGUAGCAAUCUGUUGCUGGACAAGGUACUUAUAUGGUAACUCUUAAUUUUUCUGUUUGUGAUAUUACUAUCUGAGUAUUGGAUACCGAAAGUCCAAUUAACAUUUGUAAUUUGUUGCAAGGACUUCAAGUC